AUGGCAAAUCUCACAAGUAAUAUCACCCUUCUCGUUGCACCAGUGUUGAACACACUUUCGAUGUGCAUACUUGAGACUUCCACAACAAGCACAAGGACUCUCCAAAUUAUUCAAAGAAUCUUCAUCUUGACAAAUACGGCACUCUGCACCCCCAAUUAACGGCACCUCCUCAUUCCCUUCUUCUUCUUCCUCAACAGCCAAUUCCUUUUCCUUCAUCGUCUUCGAAUUCGAAGACGAAGCUCCAAUUCCUUCCACUACUUCCGUUGCCUUCUUCCCAUUUUCAAU
This 285-nucleotide unclassified non-coding RNA is filed under the name Hevea brasiliensis (rubber tree). The record is from RNAcentral. Lineage: Eukaryota; Viridiplantae; Streptophyta; Magnoliopsida; Malpighiales; Euphorbiaceae.